GAAAUGCGAUAAGUAAUGUGAAUUGCAGAAUUCCGCGAAUCAUCAAGUUUUCGAACGCAUAUUGCGCUCUUGGGUACUCCUGAGAGCAUGCUUGUUUGAGCGUCAGUAUCAAAUCUCAAACCCUUGGGUUUGGUUAUGGACUUUUCUCAGAGUAAAAAUUAAUUUUUGUUCUGAGUGGUCUUAAAUAUAUAGGAGGGUUUGCCUAUUUCCCACCUUGAAAGGCGUGAUAAUGAUGUAGUUCACAUCUUUUGUUCGCCGGACAUUGGGAGUUUUUAUUCUCUCCGUAAUGGCCUUUACUGGCAACCGAGGUUGUAACAGACCUUGAAACUUGACCUCAAAUCAAGCAAGACUACCCGCUGAACUUAA
RNAcentral lists this unclassified non-coding RNA (366 nucleotides) under uncultured Olpidiales. RNAcentral's name for it is "sequence contains ITS1". The stretch from base 1 to 105 matches the Rfam family "5.8S ribosomal RNA", at positions 50 to 154 of the family's 154-position model. Lineage: Eukaryota; Fungi; Olpidiomycota; Olpidiomycetes; Olpidiales. The record is from RNAcentral.